UGGAGAUAUAUAAUGGCAGGACGAAAUCCAUAUCCUGAUGAGCCAUACGACAAUCCUCACUGAUAUCUCUCAAAUGGGCCGCCUUCUGGGCGUAUGUACAUCCGCUCAUGCCACCUAAACAAAUUAUUUUGGAAGAAGAACUUGAAAUGCAACAUCACGAAAUUUGCAUGCUUCAGGUCACUCUGCAACAAGAUUUAGGUUCUGCACGAGAAGAAUUUAGGCAAAUGAACAUUGCAAUUACCGAAAGUUAAAAAGAAAAUGAUCUGCAUUCAAGGAAACUUAUUAAGAGGGGAUUGAAGCUUGAAGAUGGUAAGAAAGCAACUGAAUCAUUCAUUCAACUAAUUUUUACUCGAAAUUAAUUUAUGAAUUUUGAUGGCAUCACUCUCUCUAACAUAUUAGAAUCAUUCUUUAAACCCGUUUUUAGCAUUGUUCCCAUUAAACAGAAUGGUAAGGUGGUUAUAAGUUUCGAUACAACUAAUUAG
RNAcentral lists this long non-coding RNA (482 nucleotides) under Helianthus annuus (common sunflower). RNAcentral describes it as "hypothetical non coding rna". Lineage: Eukaryota; Viridiplantae; Streptophyta; Magnoliopsida; Asterales; Asteraceae. The record is from RNAcentral.